GGGGAUUUAGCUCAGCGGUAGAGCGCUUGCCUAGCAAGUGCAAAGCCCUGGGUUCAGUCCCCA
This 63-nucleotide transfer RNA is filed under the name Rattus norvegicus (Norway rat). It matches the Rfam family "tRNA". Rfam says of the family: Transfer RNA (tRNA) molecules are approximately 80 nucleotides in length. Their secondary structure includes four short double-helical elements and three loops (D, anti-codon, and T loops). Further hydrogen bonds mediate the characteristic L-shaped molecular structure. tRNAs have two regions of fundamental functional importance: the anti-codon, which is responsible for specific mRNA codon recognition, and the 3' end, to which the tRNAs corresponding amino acid is attached (by aminoacyl-tRNA synthetases). tRNAs cope with the degeneracy of the genetic code in two manners: having more than one tRNA (with a specific anti-codon) for a particular amino acid; and 'wobble' base-pairing, i.e. permitting non-standard base-pairing at the 3rd anti-codon position. The record is from Rfam by way of RNAcentral. Lineage: Eukaryota; Metazoa; Chordata; Mammalia; Rodentia; Muridae.